UGGGGAAUAUUGGACAAUGGGCGCAAGCCUGAUCCAGCCAUGCCGCGUGAGUGACGAAGGCCUUAGGGUUGUAAAGCUCUUUUGGCGGGGAAGAUAAUGACGGUACCCGCAGAAUAAGCUCCGGCUAACUUCGUGCCAGCAGCCGCGGUAAUACGAAGGGAGCUAGCGUUGUUCGGAAUCACUGGGCGUAAAGCGCACGUAGGUGGGCAGUUAAGUCAGGGGUGAAAUCCCGGAGCUCAACUCCGGAACUGCCUCUGAUACUGCACGUCUUGAGUUCGAGAGAGGUGGGUGGAAUUCCUAGUGUAGAGGUGAAAUUCGUAGAUAUUAGGAAGAACACCGGUGGCGAAGGCGGCCCACUGGCUCGAUACUGACGCUGAGGUGCGAAAGCGUGGGGAGCAAACAGGAUUAGAUACCCUCGUAGUCCCUGAGCGGGCUGGCAAGGCGCAU
RNAcentral lists this ribosomal RNA (447 nucleotides) under uncultured bacterium. RNAcentral's name for it is "bacterial SSU rRNA". It matches the Rfam family "Bacterial small subunit ribosomal RNA", at positions 355 to 825 of the family's 1533-position model. The record is from RNAcentral.